GAGUUUGAUCGUGGCUCAGGAUGAACGCUGGCGGCGUGCUUAACACAUGCAAGUCGAACGGGAAUUACUUUAUUGAAACUUCGGUCGAUUUAAUUUAAUUCUAGUGGCGGACGGGUGAGUAACGCGUGGGUAACCUGCCUUAUACAGGGGGAUAACAGUCAGAAAUGACUGCUAAUACCGCAUAAGCGCACGGAACCGCAUGGUUCUGUGUGAAAAACUCCGGUGGUAUAAGAUGGACCCGCGUUGGAUUAGCUUGUUGGUGAGGUAACGGCUCACCAAGGCGACGAUCCAUAGCCGGCCUGAGAGGGUGAACGGCCACAUUGGGACUGAGACACGGCCCAGACCU
This 346-nucleotide ribosomal RNA is filed under the name uncultured bacterium. Its description in RNAcentral is "bacterial SSU rRNA". It matches the Rfam family "Bacterial small subunit ribosomal RNA", at positions 9 to 338 of the family's 1533-position model. The record is from RNAcentral.